Molecule: long non-coding RNA, 365 nt
Filed under: Taeniopygia guttata (zebra finch)
Lineage: Eukaryota; Metazoa; Chordata; Aves; Passeriformes; Estrildidae
Description: lncRNA (ENSTGUG00000022428.1)
Source: RNAcentral
GGUGUGGAUGCAUAACAUUUCUUAUUUCUCCAGGAUUACCCUGCUUAAGUUGUCUGAUCUUUAAGCACUUACAAAGGAAAAAGGUCCACUAAUGCAAUUUCACUGUCAUUGUUUCCAGAGCUAUUGAACUGCAAACCCUGCGUGUGAGGCAACUGAUGUGUGAGCACCUCAUCUGGAAACCUAUUUUUAAGGAAAAUAUUUCAGGAGCCCUGGAGAUUACAGAUCAUCAUUUUGGAACUGCAAACUCUGUUCAUCUCAAAACAUCAAAACCAAUCCAACACAUCAGCAGAAAUCACGCAGUGAUUCCUCAGUGUGUUUACAGAGAGAACAUGAUGCUCAUGCUAAGAAAACCAAAGAGAAUUUAA